RNAcentral lists this ribosomal RNA (369 nucleotides) under uncultured Bacteroidales bacterium. Its description in RNAcentral is "bacterial SSU rRNA". It matches the Rfam family "Bacterial small subunit ribosomal RNA", at positions 538 to 909 of the family's 1533-position model. Lineage: Bacteria; Pseudomonadati; Bacteroidota; Bacteroidia; Bacteroidales. The record is from RNAcentral.
GCGUUAUCCGGAUUUAUUGGGUUUAAAGGGUGCGCAGGCGGGAGAUUAAGUCGGCGGUGAAAUUUUGCAGCUCAACUGUAAAAGUGCCUUCGAAACUGGUUUUCUUGAGUGUAGAUGAAGUAGGCGGAAUUUGUGGUGUAGCGGUGAAAUGCAUAGAUAUCACGAGGAACUCCGAUUGCGCAGGCAGCUUACUAAGCUACAACUGACGCUCAUGCACGAAGGCGUGGGGAUCAAACAGGAUUAGAUACCCUGGUAGUCCACGCAGUAAACGAUGAUUACUCGCUGUUUGCGAUAUACGGCAAGCGGCUUAGCGAAAGCGUUAAGUAAUCCACCUGGGGAGUACGUUCGCAAGAAUGAAACUCAAAGGAA